UUCUCCCACCACAUCUUGUUCUUCUCCUCCGCCGCCUUCCAUCUUCUGUUCCUCUUACUCCUCAACAAUCUCCUAUCACACCAAUUAUUUCUCCUAAAUCUCCUAUUUAAAACCUUCCACUUUCAGUCUCAGGACCACUGUCGAAUCCUUUAAGCAACGGCGGAGGAGGAUCUCCUCGAACUCCAUCUUUACCGUCUUCUUCUUCAUAUGGGUUAUCAACAGGAGUGGUGGUUAGUAGAUCCAUUGAGGAGUCACAGCGGCAAUGGCGGACACAUAGACAGUGGUGACAUAGGCAUAAACAACGACAUAUAUGAAGACGACGGCGGCAAUUACGUGUAGACGGGAGACAGAGAACUCACAGCUGAGAAAAACAAAGAAAAUUAGAUUGGGGUGAAAAUUUCAAUUUUUUUUUGAAUUGCUGUUUGAAAAUUUCAAUUUUUAUAUUUGAUUUCAUUGGGUUGCGCAAACUUCCCAGAAUUAUUAGGUGUUUAAUUCAAUUGGCAUUGGCAGGAUACAAAGAUCAGGAAAUGCAUCAUUGACAAGAAUGCCAAGAUUGGGAAGAACGUGAUAAUCUUGAACAAAGAGGAUGUGCAAGAAGCUGAUAGGCCAGAGGAAGGAUUCUACAUUAGGUAUGGGAUCACUGUGAUUGUGGAAAAGGCGACCAUUAAAGACUGGACUGUCAUAUGAACAAGGGAGAGUGAUCAUUAACCAAUUUUUGAAUGUACAUUUUCUAUUAAAAGUAUAUUUUUACUUGUGAUAACAGUACCAUUCAUAUGUACAUUGAUUUUCUCUGUUCAUAUGUACAAAUAUUUGUAAU
Molecule: long non-coding RNA, 817 nt
Organism: Raphanus sativus (radish)
Lineage: Eukaryota; Viridiplantae; Streptophyta; Magnoliopsida; Brassicales; Brassicaceae
Exons: 3
Source: RefSeq, a predicted model, not a curated record